CGCGCAGGCUGUGCUGCAAGUCAGCUGUGAAAUGUCUGGGCUUAACCCGGGCAUGCGGUUGAGACUGCAGUGCUGGAGUGCUGUAGAGGCAAGUGGAAUUCCCAGUGUAGCGGUGAAAUGCGUAGAUAUUGGGAAGAACACCGGUGGCGAAGGCGACUUGCUGGGCAGCAACUGACGCUGAGGCGCGAAAGCCAGGGGAGCAAACGG
Molecule: ribosomal RNA, 207 nt
Filed under: uncultured Aminivibrio sp.
Lineage: Bacteria; Thermotogati; Synergistota; Synergistia; Synergistales; Aminobacteriaceae
Description: partial 16S ribosomal RNA
Rfam family: Bacterial small subunit ribosomal RNA
Source: RNAcentral